Molecule: ribosomal RNA, 405 nt
Filed under: uncultured bacterium
Lineage: Bacteria
Description: partial 16S ribosomal RNA
Rfam family: Bacterial small subunit ribosomal RNA
Source: RNAcentral
GAUGAACGCUGGCGGCGUGCCUAAUACAUGCAAGUCGAGCGAAGCGGGGACGGGUGAGUAACACGUGGAUAACCUCCUAUAAGACUGGGAUAACUUCGGGAAUCCGGAGCUAAAUCAGAUACUUAUAGAUGGAUCCGUGCUGCAUUAGCUAGUUGGUACGGUAACGGCGUACCAAGGCAACGCUGCAUAGCCGACCUGAGAGGGUGAUCGUCCACACGGGAACGGAGACACUGUCCAGACGCCUACGGUAGGCCGCCGGCGGGAAUCUUCCGCAAUGGGCGAAUGCCUGACGGAGCAACGCCGCGAUAGUGAUUGAGGUCUUCGGAUCGUAAAACUCUGUUAUUAGGGAAGCGGUACCUAAUCAGAAAGCCACGGCUAACUACGUGCCAGCAGCCGCGGUAAUAC